GUCCGGGUUCGCCACGGGCUCCUCUUUUUCCUUCUUCCCCAGCAGGGCCAGGGGGACCUUGAACUCCAGCAGGGCCCUGGAGUGGGCAGAGAAAGAGAGUGAGUGGCCUUGAUGCGUGCUUCCCCCAGAAGGGGGCGCACUGGAGCGAGUGCGUGAGUUGCGCAGAAGGGAGAGUUUUGUACUUACGCUGUUACCCUUGGGACCUGGAGCGCCGCUGGGGCCCUGGGGUCCAGAGGGGCCUCGGGCACCAGGGAAGCCAGGAGCACCAGCAAUACCAGGAGCACCCUGCAGGAGGGAGGCCAGCUGUUCCAGGCAAUCCCCGAGCACCCUGGAAAGAAUGACAAAUAAGGACUUGGAAAUGUGUCAGAAGGGCUCUGUGACCACGGCUCCUAAAUGCAUCCCCAGUGCAGUCUGGAGUCCCAAAGGUGGCCUUUACCUCCCCAGCUAUCUGUAUACCAGCCCCUAACAGGACCAUCAUUGUCCUUUCUCUUCUGAACCCCCAUCCUCUCUGUCAUCACUGCUCCCCCU
Molecule: long non-coding RNA, 528 nt
Organism: Peromyscus californicus insignis
Lineage: Eukaryota; Metazoa; Chordata; Mammalia; Rodentia; Cricetidae
Exons: 4
Source: RefSeq, a predicted model, not a curated record